GUCUGGUUCGGUCCUGCAUCUUGAUCCCUUAUGUGAGGAUGGAGACGGAACUGCAGCCGGUAUCACUACCUGAGGACGCCCAAGGGACUAGGAUCCUCUAGGAUACCAACUACCCAAUGUCAUACCUCUCCAGCUUAUGAGUUGUGGAGGUCGUUCUCCUUUCACUCUACGGGACUAAACAUCCUGCUGACAAUCGGUCAGACUUGGUCUUGUAUAAUUUCCCAUUAGAUGGUGUAUACGUGGGCGCUCAACGGGGAAGACCUCCCCACAACGCCGA
Molecule: non-coding RNA, 277 nt
Organism: Pelobates cultripes (western spadefoot toad)
Lineage: Eukaryota; Metazoa; Chordata; Amphibia; Anura; Pelobatidae
Source: the annotation of a GenBank genome assembly